Molecule: long non-coding RNA, 407 nt
Filed under: Rattus norvegicus (Norway rat)
Lineage: Eukaryota; Metazoa; Chordata; Mammalia; Rodentia; Muridae
Description: long non-coding RNA NONRATT018907
Source: RNAcentral
CAGUGUCCAGCACUUCCUGUGCAUCUUUUUCUGCACACAGGUCCUUAGCACACUCUACCCAGAGUCUCAGCUGCAUGUGGACCUGCACAUACAGGAAUGCCUUGUGUACACUUGGAAGAUGGGAAUUGAGAGUUCCAGAGGUGAGGCACAGUGGCCUGCUCAGAACUGGACACAGGAAGCACUCAAGGCUGGCUGCAGUUGCCCAGGCUAGGCCUCUGCAGGAAGCAUGGAAGACCCCCAGCUGCCUCCGGCUGUGCCUCUGGCCCAUGCUUUAGCCUCUCUUUCCCCAGCCUGACACCCAGGGUGCUCUUCUGCCUGCUGGGGAGUCUCAGGCCCUUCAUAUCAGUAUCUCUUGUCUACAGCUGGUUUUCAUUGAAGCCCUUUGUGCUAAAAAGAAAAAAAAGAAA